UUUUUUUUUUUUCUGUAUAGCUGAUGAGUGUUAAGUUGAGGCUGGCAGUAAGCCACCCGCUCACUAAAAAUUUUAAGUCCCGAAAUGAAAAGCAUCUCAAUAUGCUCUGCAGACAUCCAAACAACAACAACAACAAAUCACAAUUCUUUGUCACACUUACACUACAUCAGCACUUAACAAAGUAUGAGUGAGCAAAGCCUGUGCAUUGCAAAGAACAAAAAAGCAAGUGACCUCAAAAGGUGAGAGAUGGUGCCAAAUGGUGAACUGCAUCCAAAAUGAGGGUCUUUUUCUCUGUAAUCUGUUUGAUGCAGGAUGCAUCAGUGUCUUGGCACUGCAUAGCUGUGAUUUCACCUAAGGAGAAGAAUGCUUGUUCUAAUGUUUUUUUCCUAUUUUUGUGUUUGUUCGUUUUUGGGUUUUUUUAAUGUUAUUUCUUAUUGAGUUUAGUACCUUUGUCUGAAUUGAAUCUCCUCCUGUUUUCCUCUUUUUGUUUAUUUUUCUUUCUUUAAAAAAACCCAAAAUUGCAUACCAAUAUCCCUCUAUAUGUCUCAAUUGGAAAAAAACAAACUUAAACAGUAGUUACAAUUUAUCCAUAAGCUCUUGAAUUACAUACUAAAAACUUUCUCUCUCUCAAAAAAAGCACAUUACCAUUUAAGAAAACAUGCUGCUUAGAGAUUUUCAAAAAUUUCUUGCCAUAUAUUGAUCUGAACAACUAAAUAACUCAUUAAGAAGCUUACAAAUGUAAAGCUUUUAGUUUUUACCCACUCCCAUGCCAUGAUUUUUGCCAUGACAGAAUUCUUUUUGCCACACUACUGUGUAAAGGACUGCAUCGGGGGACUUACCUUUGUUGAGACAGUCUGGCAGGGCAAACUCAGUCAGAUGACCCAUUCCAUCCCAUAGACUAUGUGGUUAAUAUUUGAAUUCUUAAAAUAACUUUUAUUUUAUAAAAGUUUUACAUUGACAAAAAGGUUGUGAAGAUUGUAUUAAGAGGUCCUAUAUGCCUCACACGCAGUUCUCCUGUUAUUAAUGUCUUAUAUCAGAAUCAUCUAUUUAUCACAACUACAAUUUUAAGAAAUCCUUAACUCCUUUUAUUUGAGUGGCAUUAAAAAUACAUAUCAAUAUAUUAUUAGUAACCAAUACCCAUACUUUAUUCAGAUAUCCUUAGUUUUUACCUGAUAUCCUUUUUCUGUUCCAGGAUCCUACAAAAGGGACCUCAUUCCAUUAAGCUCCAUAUACACUUCUAUACUGUGACUGCUUCUUAAGUCUUUAUUUACUUUUGAUGACUUGACAGAUCUGAGGAACACUGGUCAAUUUGCAGCAUUUCCCUCAAUUUGUAUGUGCCUAUUAGCCUUAUAAUUAGACUGGGGUAAUGUAUGUUAGGGGAGGAAGACCACAAAGGAAAAGUGCCAUUUUCAUUAGAUCAUAACAAAACUACAUGCCAUUACCAUAGUAUGACUGUUGAUAUUAACCUUUUUUUAUUACUCAGUGAAUUUAUUACAUUUAUAGAAGUACAAUGAUCAUCACAAUCCAAUUUUAUAGGAUUUCCAUCACACAACCCCAGAGCAUCCCCCCACCCCACAAACUGUCUCCUUUGAAGACCAUAAGUUUUUCAAAGUGUAUGAGUCAGUAUCUGUUCUGCAAAGAAGUUCAUUCUGUCCUUUUUUCAGAUUCCACAUGUCAGUGAAAGCAUUUGAUGUUGGUGUCUCACUGACUGACGUAACUCAGCAUGAUAAUUUCUAGGUCCAUCCAUGUUGCUAAAAAUACUGGUAUUUUAUUCCUUUUAAUGGCUGAGUAAUAUUCCCUUGUAUAUAUGUAUACUACAUCUUCUUGAUCCACUCCUCUGUCAAUGGACAUUUAGGUUGUUUCCAUGUCUUGGCUAUUGAAAAGAGUGGUGCAAAAAACACUGCAGUUCACGUGUCUUUUCGAGUCAUAGUUUUCUCUGGAUAGAUAUCCAGGAGUGGGAUUGCUGGAUCAAAUGGUAGUUCUAUUUUGAGUUUUGUGAGGAAUCUCCAUGCUGUUUUCCACAGUGGUUGCACCAAUUUACAAUCCCACCAACAGUGUAAUAGGGUUCCUUUUUCUCCACAACCUCCCCAGCACUUAUUAUUUGUAGACUUUUUGAUAAUGGCCAUUCUGGCUGGUGUAAGAUGGUACCUUACAGUGGUUUUGGUUUUCACUUCUCUGACAAUGAAUGAUAUUGAACAUCUUUUCAUGUGUUUUUUUGGCCAUAUGUAUGUCUUCUUUGGAGAACUGUCUAUUUAGAUCUUCUGCCCAUUUUUUGAUGGGGUUGUCUGUUUAUUUGGUAUGGAGCUGUAGAAGGUGUUUAUAAAUUUUGGAGAUGAAUCCCUUGUCAGUUGAUUCAUUUGCAAAGAUUUUCUCCCAUUAUGUGGGUUGUCUUUUCGUUUUGUUUAGGGUUUCCUUUUUUGUGUGGAAACUUUUAAGUUUAAUUAGGUCUUAAUUGUUUAUUUUUGUUUGCAAUGUCAUUACUCUAAGAGGUGGAUCUGAGAAGAUGUUGCUGUCAAUUAUAUCAGAGAGUGUUUGGCCUGGUUUCCUCUAAGAGUUUUAUACUGUCUGGUCUUAUAUCUAGGUCUUUAAUGCAUUUUGAACUUAUUUUUGUGUAUGGUGUUAGGGAGUGUUCUAAAUUCAUUCUUUUCCAUGUGGCUGUCCAUUUUCCCAGCACCACAAAUUGAAAAGGCUGUCUUUUCUCCAUUGUUUACUUUUGCCUCCUUUGUCAUAGAUGAGUUAACUGUAGGUACAUGGGCUUAAAUCUGGCCUUUCUAUCCUGUUCCACUGAUCUAUAUUUCUGUCUUUGUGCUAGUACCAUAUGGUUUUGAUGACUGUUGCUUUGUAGUAUAGUCUGAAGUUAGGGAGCCUGAUUCAUCCAGCUCCAUUUUUCUUGUUCAGGAUGUCUUUGGCUAUUCUGAGUCUUUUGUGCUUCCAGACAAACUUUAAAAUAUUUUGUUCAAGUUCUGUGAAAAACAUCCUUGGUAAUUUGAUAGGGAUUGCAUUGAAUCUGUAUAUUGCCUUAGGUAGUACAGUCAUUUUGAUAAUAUUAACUCUUCUAGUCCAAGAGCAUGGUAUGUCUUUCCAUCUAUUUGUGUCAUCUUUGAUUUCUUUCAUCAGUGUCUUAUAGUUUUCAGAGUACAGGUCUUUUGUCUCUUUGGGUAGGCUUAUUCCUAGGAAUUUUAUUCUUUUGGAUGCAAUGGUAAAUAGGAUUGCUUCCCUAAUUUCUCUUUCUAUCUUUCAUUGUUAGUAUAUAGAAAUGCCAUCAAUUUCUGUGUAUUAAUUUUGUAUCCUGUGACUUUGCCAAAUUCAUGGAUGAGCUCUAACAGUUUUCUGGUAGAGUCUUUAGGAUUCUCUAGGUAUAGUAUCAUGUCAUCUGCAAAUAGUGGUAGUUUUACUUCUCCUUUCCAAUUUGGGUUCCUUUUAUUUCUUUUACUUCUCUGAUUGCUAUGGCUAGGACUUCCAAACCUAUGUUGAAUAAUAGUGGUUAGAGCGGACAUCCUUGUCUGAUCUCAGGGGGAAUUCUUUCAGAUUUUCACCAUUGAGAAUGGUGUUAGCUGUGGGUUUGUCAUAUAUGGCCUUUAUGAUGUUGAGGUAGGUUUCCUCUAUGCCCACUUUCUGAAGGGUUUUUACCAGAAAUGGGUGUUGGAUUUUGUCAAAGGCUUUUUCUGCAUCCCUUGAGAGGAUCAUAUGGUUUUUAUUCUUCAGUUUGUUAAUGUGGGGUAUCAUAUUGAUGGAUUUGUGGAUAUUGAAGAACCCUUGCAUCCCUGGGACAAAUCACACUUGAUCAUGAUGUACAAUCCUUUUAAUGUAUUAUUGGAUUCAGGUUCCUAGUAUUUUGUUGAGGAUUUUUGCAUCGAUGUUCAUCAGUGAAAUUGGCCUGUACUUUUCUUUUUUUGUAGUAUCUUUGUCUGGUUUUGGUAUCAGGGUGAUGGUGGCCUCACAGAAUGAGUUUGGGAGUAUUCCUUCCUCUACAAUUUUUUGAAAUAUUUUCAGAAGGAGAGGUGUUAGUUCUUCUCUAAAUGUUUGAUAGAAUUCGCCUGUGAAGCCAUGUGGUCCUAGACUUUUGUUUGUUGGAAGUUUUUUAAUGACAGUUUUCUUGUGAUUGGUCCAUUCAUCUUUUCUAUUUCAUCUUGGUUUAGUUUUGGAAGACUGUUCUUUUCUAAGAAUUUUUCCAUUUCUUCUAGGUUUUCCAUUUUAUUGGCGAAUAGUUGCGUACAUUGGUCUCUUAUGAUUCUUUGUAUUUCUGUGAUGUCCGUUGUUACUUCUUCAUUUCUAAUUUUAUUGAUUUGUGUCUUCUCUAACGUUCUUGAUAAGUCUGGCUAAGGGUUUAUCAAUUUUGUUGAUCUUUUCAAAGAACAACUUUUUCUUUCAUUCAUCAUCUCUAUGGUUUUCUUUGUUUCUAUUUCAUUGAUUCUGCUCUGAUUUUUAUGAUUUCUUUCCUUCUGCUAACUUUAGGUCUUGCCUGUUCUUCUCUCUAAAGCUGCUUUAGAUGUAAAGUUAGCUUAUUUAUUUGAGCUUUUUCUUGUUUCCCAAGGUGGGCUUGUAUUGCUAUAAACUUUCCCCUUAAAAUGGCUGUUGCUGCGUCCCAUAGGUUUUGGCUUGUUGAGUCUUUGUUGCCAUUUACUUCUAGAUAUUUUUAAUUUCCUCUUUGAUUUCUUCAGUGAUCCAUUGGUUGUUUAGUAGCAUGUUGUUUAGUCUCCACGUGUUUGUGUUUCUUGCAGUUUUUUUCUUGUUGUUGAUUUCCAGUCAUAUAGCAUUGUGGUUGGAAAAGAUACUUGAUAUGAUUUCAAUUUUCUUAAAGUUCCUGAGGUUUGAUUUGUAGCCCAGAAUGUGAUCAAUCAUAGAGAAUGUUCCAUGUGCAGUUGAGAAGAAUGUGUAUUCUGUUGCUUUGGGAUAGAAUGUCCUAUAAAUAUCUAUGAAGUCCAUCAAGUCUAAUGCUUCAUUCAGGGCCUCUGUUUCCUUAUUGAUUUUCUGUCUGGAUGAUCUGUCCAUUACUGUCAGUGGGGUGUUAAAGUCCCCCACUAUUAUUGCGUUACUGUCGAUUUGUCCUUUUAAGGUUGUUAGGAAUUGCCUUAUGUCUCAUGGUGGACCUAUGUUGGAUGCGUAGAUAUUUAAAAUUGAUAUCUCUUCUUCUUGGAUUGAUCCUUUGAUCAUUAGGUAGUGACCUUCUUUGUCCC
This 5177-nucleotide long non-coding RNA is filed under the name Sus scrofa (pig). RNAcentral's name for it is "lncRNA (ENSSSCG00065011311.1)". Lineage: Eukaryota; Metazoa; Chordata; Mammalia; Artiodactyla; Suidae. The record is from RNAcentral.